This 374-nucleotide RNase P RNA is filed under the name Anaerolineae bacterium. RNAcentral describes it as "RNase P RNA component class A". It matches the Rfam family "Bacterial RNase P class A". Rfam says of the family: Ribonuclease P (RNase P) is a ubiquitous endoribonuclease, found in archaea, bacteria and eukarya as well as chloroplasts and mitochondria. The record is from RNAcentral. Lineage: Bacteria; Bacillati; Chloroflexota; Anaerolineae.
CAGGUUGACCAGACGGUCGCGGGUAGGGUGGCAGCGUGCUGCUGUGCUACCUGAGGAAAGUCCGCUCUCCAUAGGGCGCGGUGCUGGCUAACCGCCAGGCAGCGUAAGCUGACGGCAAGUGCAACAGAGAAGCGUAUUGCCGUGCGCGGCUUCGGCUGCCUACGGCGAGGGUGAAACGGUGGUGUAAAAGACCACCAGCGCGGGCAGUGAUGUGCGCGGCUAGGCAAACCCCACCGGGAGCAAGGUCAAGCAGGCGCGUGGGGCUGCCCGUCCCAUAAGUAGCGCCGGGUGUACCGCAUGACGGCGUGAGCAAUCACGACGCUAGAGAGAUGACCGUCCAACGACAGAAAGCGGCUUAUCGGCUGACCUGGAUA